CGGACGGGUGCGUAACACGUGAGCAACCUACCCUGAAGUGGGGGAUAGCCUUCCGAAAGGAAGAUUAAUACCGCAUGUGAUCUCCGGAUCAAAGACGGCUUCGGCUGUCGCUUUGGGAUGGGCUCGCGGCCUAUCAGCUUGUUGGUGAGGUAAUGGCUCACCAAGGCGACGACGGGUAGCUGGUCUGAGAGGACGAUCAGCCUCACUGGAACUGAGACACGGUCCAG
This 227-nucleotide ribosomal RNA is filed under the name uncultured bacterium. RNAcentral describes it as "partial 16S ribosomal RNA". It matches the Rfam family "Bacterial small subunit ribosomal RNA", at positions 99 to 334 of the family's 1533-position model. The record is from RNAcentral.